AUUAGCCUUCACAUGGCCAACCUACUCAUAAGAGUAACAAAUCCUGGUGCUCACUCUCUUUGCCACAUUUGCAUAAUACCCUCAUGAACCUUGAGAAGUUCUAGCCAGCGUCGUUGCCUCAUGUUCAACUCCUUCUGAUUAAAGAGAUACUGGAGACUCUUAUGAUCAGUGAAGAGCUUGCACUUCGUGCCGUAGAGGUGAUGCCUCCAUAUCUUUAAGGCAAAAACUACCGCUGCCAACUCUAGAUCAUGAGUGGGGUAGUUCUUUUCGUGCUCUUUCAAUUGUCGAGAUGCGUAUGCUAUCACCUUUUCUCCUUGGGUCAGAACACAACCCAACCCGACUCCAGAAGCGUCACUAUAAACCGCGAAAUCUUCGACUCCAUCGGGUAGAGAAAGUAUCGGUGCUUCACAUAACUUCUUCUUUAGCUUCUCGAAUGCCUCAUCGUGUUUCUCACUCCACGUAUACGUAGCUCCUUUAUGAGUCAAAGCUGUUAAUGGAGCAGCUAUCGAAGAAAAGCCUUGGAUAAAUCGUCGAUAAUAUCCGGCUAAUCCUAGAAAGCUUCGAAUUUCCGUGGGACUCUUUGGACGUUCCCACUUCAUUACAGCCUCGAUCUUUGCGGGGUCAACCAUUAUUCCCUCUUGGUUAGCAACAUGACCCAAGAAUUGGACUUCCCGUAUCCAAAAGUCGCAUUUGGAGAACUUUGCAAAAAGCUUCUCCUUCUUCAACACUUCUAAUACUUCCCGUAGAUGCUUGCCAUGCUCCUCUUGGCUUUUCGAGUAGAUGAGAAUGUCGUCGAUGAACACUAUCACGGAUUUAUCGAGGAAUGGUUUACAAACCCUAUUCAUCAAAUCCAUGAAUGCUGCGGGAGCAUUGGUUAGCCCGAAUGACAUAACCAAGAACUCGUAGUGUCCAUAUCUCGUUCUGAAUGCAGUCUUCUCAAUAUCCUGCUUUCUCACCUUUAGCUGAUGAUAUCCUGACCUAAGAUCGAUCUUUGAGAAGUAGCUCGAACCUUGCAGCUGAUCGAAUAGGUCAUCAAUCCUCGGCAAUGGAUACUUGUUCUUCACCGUUGCCUUAUUCAGCUCUCGGUAGUCUAUACACAUUCUCAUACUUCCGUCCUUCUUCUUCACGAAUAACACCGGAGCUCCCCAGGGUGAUGAACUAGGUCGAAUAAAACCGUUGUCCAACAGCUCCUGAAGUUGCGUCAUGAGCUCCUUCAUCUCCGUCGGUGCUAAUCGGUAAGGUGCCUUUGCUAUCGGUGUUGUUCCUGGUAACAAGUCUAUACGAAACUCCACUUGCCUAUCAGGUGGUAAUCCGGGAAGAUCUUCGGGAAAGACUUCCGGAUAAUCACACACAACCGGUAUAUUCUGCACCUCUUUCUUCUCCUUCUUGGCAUCGAUUACGAAUGCCAAGUAUGAUGCACAUCCUUUGGACAAACAUUUCCUGGCUUUCAUCAGGGAGAUGAUUCCAGAAUUCACUCUGCGUUUGUCCCCAUACACCAUAAAUGAUUCUUUUCCGGGUGGGUUUACCUUUACUAUCUUCUUUCGGCAUUGAAUCUCAGCAUCGUUGGCGCUAAGCCAAUCCAUACCCAAAACGAUGUCGAAACCGUUUAACUCUAUGGGUAAUAGCUCUUCGUGGAAUUCGUUUCCGUUUAGGUCAAUGACGAUGUUCCUAAUACGAUUACUAACAGGUACGAAUUUGCCACUGGCAACUUCUACAAUCAGGGCAUUAUCUAGUUUUUCUACAGGCAAUGCUAAUUUCCCACCAAAUUUAUGCGACACAAAGGAGUAGUUGGCUCCGGAAUCAAAUAGUAUAUUUGCAGGCAAACCAUUUACAAGAAAGGUACCUGAAGCGACGUCUGCUGCCUCCUUUGCAGCCUCGAGCGUCAUCUGGAAGGCUCUCGCCUUCGGCUUCGGUGGUAUGUUGGGUCUUCCUGUCUCCUUCUUCUUCGGGCAGUCCUUCAAAAUGUGCCCUUCUUCAUUGCACCCAUAACAGGCUUUCUGGUUGAGGGUGCAUUCAUUGGCGUAGUGCCCAGGCUUUCCGCACUUGUAACAAGUGACCCCUCCGUCACACUUCCCAGAGUGCUUCUUCUUGCACUUGUCACACCACUUCGCUUCUGAUCCUCCUCCCCUCGAACCAGACUUCGAGAAUCUACUCUUCUUGUUGGACUUCGAGGAUCCAUUGAACUUCCGUUUCUCACCAACCUCAGCCCUCUCCAGACCUCUUUCCUUUUGUUGGGUCUCCACGUUCUUAGCUGCUCGAACAGCUGAUUUCAGAGUGGUUGCCAUCUUGACUGUUGGGCCAAAGUCAGCCGGCAGUCCGUUUGCGAAUUUCUCAAUUUUGGAAAGUUCGGUUGGCACUAGGUAUGGAAACAACUUCAUCUUUUCCGUAAAUGCAGCAGCAUAGUCAUCGAUGCUCAUUCUCCCCUUCUUCAAAUUUUGGAACUCAUUGUUCAGAUCAAUCAGGUCUAUCUCUGAACAGUACUGCGCCUUCAGUUGUUCCAAGAACUCAUCCCAUGACAUUUUCAGAGCUUCUCCCCGUGGCAUUGUAUCUGCCAAUAGCUUCCACCAGCUCAAGACUCCAGUUUUCAAUUGUCUCACAGCGAAGACAGUCUUCUGCUUCUCGCUGCAGUCGCAGCUCUCAAACACCAUCUCCAUCUCGGAGAUCCAGUCCAUAAUCUCAACAGGCUUUGGGCUUCCUGAGAGACUUGGUGGUUUCGCACCCAAGAAAUUUUUGUACAUCCGCCCAUCCUUGUUGUUUCUCCCUUCUGGGCCAUCCUUUUGCUCACCUUGAGUCCCUACUUGACUCACUUGGCGGCUAUAGUUCCCUUCCUCAGAUGGCUCGGGAACUGGCUCCGUCGGUUCAACAUGUAUGGUAGGUUCGUCCCUAUUUUCGUGGAGCAUCCGUCUCAUUUCUUCCCUUUGUUCAGCUAGCAUAGCCUGAAUCAUGGCUUGAACUCCAGCCAUGGUGACUGGCUCAGGUGCAACUUCUUCAACAACAGGUAUUUGCUGAACCACUGGGGGUUGGUUCCUACCUCCAUUUGCGUUCACGUUUCCGCUACGGGUCCUUGCCAUCUUGAUCUAUACACCGAAUAAGGUGAAUUUAGAUCUUUAUUUAGGAUAGACGUUUUAAAUCGUCCUUAUCACUCCGAAACGUUUACAUGCUAGUUCUAAUAUCGUAGUCGUACGUUUAGAAUCCUAAACACAUAAGGUUUCCAGAUCCGGUCGGCAACAGACCAUAGAUCCGAACAAUUAACAGCAUAUUAUGCACAAAGCAUUUAGCACAUAAAAGCAUUUUAGGCACAAUUCCUAAAAUAAGCUAGUGCUCACACCUCACAAUCAUCGCUUAGCAUUCUAAGUUUAAGUCUAGAAAUCCUACAAAUUCCUAGUUCGCUUAAACUAAUGCUCUGAUACCAACUGUGACAUCCCCAAAAUCACGGCCAGAAAAGACCGGUUUGUUUAUGCUUUGUUUAAAAAUCAGAGUUACAUUUUAAAUGAAAGUGUUGCGGAAUUUGUCCCAAAACAAAAAUAUGAUAAAGAUUUAUCAAAAGCAUUUCCAUAGAAAUGUAUUUCAUUAAAAGACUCGGGAUGUCAUGUUCGUACAGAUCAAAAGCAUAAACAGUACAAUAUAAGCCUUACUACAUUAUUUCAUAUCUACAGGCCUAUAUCCGUAAUCCCUCGUCCAAAACAUCACACCUAUGCUCAUGCGCCACUACCUGUAAUACAUAAAACUGAGUGGGUCAGGCUUGGGAGCCUGGUGAGCACAUAGGGUUUUCAACCCACAAUAAAUAAGUUUAUUAAUUUCAUCGAUCAACAAUAACCCGAUUACCCGUUCCCGUUAUCCUCACUUUACGUCCCUAAACACCUAUCAUAAGGGACCUAGCCUAAGGAUCAUCAUCGGGACGGACACUACUGCUAAGGGGAUUCCUCAGCAAUAAAUGUCCUAAAGGCAACCAUGUGGGGGAUGGAGUACACCGGUGAACAUAUCGUUCACAAACACCUACAGGUUGCGAGCCUGCUAGUGUUCCACUGGACUGUCUAGAAGAGUCCGUGGUCGUCAUCCAUACUCCGCUAGAUGACAGAAUCAACAACAUCAACAUCGAGGCCUCUCAUCAUUUUAUCACACAUCACCUAUUGCAUCUACCCAUGUUUUACCCCAACAUUUUCGUAGAUAUAAAAUACAUAUACAGUUUAAAUCAUUGAAAACAUGUAUAACAACGUUCAUCUAGCAUAGAUAGCAAGUAUUCAGAUAAUAUGCACACAUAGCACGUAAUUUAUAUAAAAUACUUCAUAUCUAUGUGUAAGUUGAAAGUAACUAUGCACUCACUUGUUAAGGUGAUGAUUCCAAAAUCGGGCAGCGCUUGCUUCUAACGAUUCUAUUUUCCUUCGACGAAACCUAGCAUUAUUAUCGCUAAAUUUUAGUCUAAUAUUUACCGUGACCAACUAUUAGUCUUAGUAUUAUUAUUAUUAUAUAAGCGUUAAACAAUAUUUUCCAACCACUAUGUACAGACAGGGGCCAGACAUAAAACACCGGAGGGCAGGACCAUUUUGGCAUAUAGCACUUCUGAAAUCCAACAACCCUAUGCGGCCCUUUAAACCAGAUUCCCCGUACCGCGAGUAGUUAAAAAAAAUAUUAUAACGACACUUAUAUAAGUUAUAAUAAUAGCUCAAAUAUUUAUUAUAAGUUCAUAAUAACAAUACUAAUUUUAAAUAUAAGCUAUAUUAAAAUAAGGUAAGCAUAACUUACUUACAAGGGGGUUUUAGCUAGGAGUCGGGCUCUGCAGGGGCAGAACUUCGUCGCUGAAUCUUUCUAAGAAAGAUUCGUGCAGCGCUUCAGCGCUCACCUUACUAUACUAAGCUACAGAAAGAGAAGUCGAAUCACGAGGGACCGAAAUGCUCGGGGGAUAAGGAGAGAAAGACUCUUGAAUCAAGAGAAUGGUGCAAGAAAUAUGAGAGCCCAAGGCUCUUAUUUAUACUAAUUGAAUUUUCAAAAACUACCCUCCAUAAUUACUUAAUGACCUUUUAGUUAUAUAAACAACUAAACACCCCUCUAUAAUACUAUUAUAAAUGGAUUUAAUGAUAUUUGUACUAAACUAAUGUCGAAAGAACUCAACAUUAGUCUUAUAAUGACCGCAUCGUCGAUACCUUUCUAAUGAUAUAUACAUAUGUAUAUAUAUGUGUACGUAUACAUGAUUUAUACUUUAUUUUAAUACGUAAAUAUGCUAUUAUAAUUUGUAACUCGUUCAUACGAACUCCGUUUUUGACGUUCUUUAUAUCCACGCGUAGGUGAAGACGUACUCUACAACUUUCGUUUAGACUCCGUCGGCUAAUUUUGACUUUAUUUUUAAAGUUAUAUUUUUAACAAGCCGGGACAGGAUUGGUCUGUUUAAAAUCUCAUAACUUCUUCAUACGAAGUCAGAUUUGGGCGUUCUUUUUAUCGAUGUUCUUAGUUUAACAUAUUCUACGACUUUCGUUUAGAUCACUAAGGCUAAAUCUCGCUCUAUCGUAAAUUCACUAUUCACGCUUCCCGGUAUCGUGCCGGUUCUGUCGUGAAACUUCGACGGGUCAUAACUUCUUCGUUAUAACUCGGAUUUCGGCGUUCCUUAUAUGCACGGAAACCUUGAGACAUAUUCUACAACUUUAUGUAGAGAUAUCGGGAUUAUCUCACACUUUAAUUUUGACGCUCAUUUUUAUUCUUUAUUAAUUAUACAUUUAUAAUUAAAUAAUAAACACAUAUAAUUCACAUAAUACUCAAAUAUUUCAUCUUUAUUACUUCAAAAAGAGUUACAAGAGUUGACCUAGACUAUUACAUUGACAAAAAUGCUUAGCCCUGAAACCCGGGCGUUACAAUUCUCUCCCCCUUAGGAUGAUUCCGUCCCGGAAUCAUGCAUCAGCAAACAGAUGUGGAUAGCGACUCAUCAUGUCAUCCUCUGUUUCCCAAGUGAGAUUCGGCCCAUUCGAAUGUUUCCAUCGGACUAGCACCAAGUCGACCAUCUUGCGUCGUAACUUCUUAGUCUUACGGUCAACAAUUGCCUCAGGCUCUUCGAUCAACCUUUUAUUUUCAUCCAUCCUUAACUCUGAGAUUGGAAUUAUGUCGGGAACAUCUCCCGUGAAUUUCCUCAAAUAACACACAUGGAAGGUGUUAUGAAUACCAUUGAGUUCUUCGGGCAAUUCCAGCUUGUAAGCUUGGUUCCCUAUCUUCUGAAGAACUUUGAACGGUCCAAUAAACCUUGGACUCAACUUUCCUCGUUUCCCAAAUCGUAUAAGUCCCUUCCACGGUGAGACUUUAAGCAAAACGGAAUCCCCAACUUCGAAAGUUAUCGGUCGUCUUUUCUUGUCAGCAUAGCUCUUCUGACGAUCCUGGGCUGCUAACAUCCUUUCCCUAAUCACCUUCAACUUCUCAGCAGUCUCAUGGACUAUCUCGGGGCCCAUAAACUGCUUCUCUCCGGCUUCAAGCCAACAAGACGGCGUACGACACUUCUGCCCAUACAAGGCUUGAUAAGGAGCCAUCUUGAUGCUCGAGUGAAAACUAUUGUUGUAGGAAAAUUCUACCAGAGGUAAGUGCUCGUCCCAAUUCCCUUGGAAUUCGAGGGUACAUGCUCUCAGCAUAUCUUCCAGCGUCUGAAUCGUUCUUUCGCUCUGACCAUCAGUUUGCGGAUGAUAAGCAGUACUCAAACACAACUUUGUACCUAACUCCUCUUGUAGACUCCUCCAAAACCUUGACGUGAAACGACUAUCACGAUCUGAUACAAUCGUAAGAGGGACACCGUGAAGUCUUACAAUUUCCUUCACGUAAGCAUUUGCGAGCUUAUCCAUAGACCACUUCUCGUUGGCUGCUAUGAAGUGUGCACUCUUGGUGAAACGAUCCACGACUACCCAAAUCAUGUCGUGACCGUUCUUCGUCCUGGGCAGUUUAGUCACAAAAUCCAUGGUGAUGUCUUCCCAUUUACCCAUGGGUACAGGUAAAGGUUCCAAACUCCCAUACGGUUUCUGAUGUUGUGCCUUAACCCUCGCACAUGUUACGCACUCGGCCACAUACUUCGCAACAUCGAGCUUCAUCGUCGGCCACCAGUAGUAGGGUUUUAGGUCCCUAUACAUUUUAGUGCUACCGGGAUGAAUCGAGUACAUGGUCUUGUGUGCUUCUUCCAUCAGAAGAUCUCUUAUUCCUCCCGUCUUAGGUACCCAAAUUCGAUCUUGGAAUACCUUCAGUCCUCGACUGUUUGUACCAAACACUAACGUUCUUCCCAAACGUUCUUCCUUUCGGUCAUUUUUCUCUAAAGCUUCUUCUUGAGCUUUCCUGAUACUUUCCACAAUCGUCGAGACGACUUCAAUUCUUAACGCUCUUGGCCUUUUCCUUUCCAGAUUGACUUUCCGACUGAGAGCAUCAGCAACAAUAUUUGCUUUACCUGGGUGGUAAAGUAUCUCACAGUCGUAGUCCUUGAGAAGUUCUAGCCAGCGUCGUUGCCUCAUGUUCAACUCCUUCUGAUUAAAGAGAUACUGGAGACUCUUAUGAUCAGUGAAGAGCUUGCACUUCGUGCCGUAGAGGUAAUGCCUCCAUAUCUUUAAGGCAAAAACUACCGCUGCCAACUCUAGAUCAUGAGUGGGGUAGUUCUUUUCGUGCUCUUUCAAUUGUCGAGAUGCGUAUGCUAUCACCUUUUCUCCUUGGGUCAGAACACAACCCAACCAGACUCCAGAAGCGCCACUAUAAACCGCGAAAUCUUCGACUCCAUC
RNAcentral lists this long non-coding RNA (7727 nucleotides) under Lactuca sativa (garden lettuce). RNAcentral describes it as "long non-coding RNA (LSAT_LNC001775)". The record is from RNAcentral. Lineage: Eukaryota; Viridiplantae; Streptophyta; Magnoliopsida; Asterales; Asteraceae.